AUGGCAGCACAGAAGAGAGUGAUUCCGAAAUUGCUACUGUUGACUCCUGCAGUGUUAGCUUAAAUGAAGGAAGCAGUGUGGAAUCUGGGUGUAAACCUGUAUAUAAGUGUGCUGUUCAAGGUGUAUCGGAGGUUGAGUUGAGCCAUAGGCUCGAGUUCCAAAGUAGUGCAGUAAUACUCAAGAAGAAACGGAAGCCAAAUAGAAA
This 205-nucleotide unclassified non-coding RNA is filed under the name Hevea brasiliensis (rubber tree). The record is from RNAcentral. Lineage: Eukaryota; Viridiplantae; Streptophyta; Magnoliopsida; Malpighiales; Euphorbiaceae.